This 253-nucleotide ribosomal RNA is filed under the name uncultured bacterium. Its description in RNAcentral is "partial 16S ribosomal RNA". It matches the Rfam family "Bacterial small subunit ribosomal RNA", at positions 524 to 776 of the family's 1533-position model. The record is from RNAcentral.
UACGUAGGGUGCGAGCGUUGCCCGGAUUUAUUGGGCGUAAAGGGCGCGUAGGCGGCCACGCACGUCCGUUGUGAAAUCGCCCGGCUCAACUGGGCGGGGUCAGCGGAUACGGUGUGGCUAGAGCAAGCUAGGGGGCAAUGGAAUUCCCGGUGUAGUGGUGGAAUGCGUAGAUAUCGGGAGGAACACCAGUGGCGAAGGCGGUUGCCUGGAGCUUUGCUGACGCUGAUGCGCGAAAGCCAGGGGAGCGAACGGG